UACGGAGGGAGCUAGCGUUGUUCGGAAUUACUGGGCGUAAAGCGCACGUAGGCGGUUACUCAAGUCAGAGGUGAAAGCCCGGGGCUCAACCCCGGACUGCCUUUGUAAACUAGGUAACUAGAAUCCUGGAGAGGUGAGUGGAAUUCCGAGUGUAGAGGUGAAAUUCGUAGAUAUUGGAAGAACACCAGUGGCGAAGGCGGCUCUCUGGUCCACGAC
RNAcentral lists this ribosomal RNA (216 nucleotides) under uncultured bacterium. RNAcentral describes it as "partial 16S ribosomal RNA". It matches the Rfam family "Bacterial small subunit ribosomal RNA", at positions 524 to 740 of the family's 1533-position model. The record is from RNAcentral.